This 253-nucleotide ribosomal RNA is filed under the name uncultured bacterium. RNAcentral's name for it is "partial 16S ribosomal RNA". It matches the Rfam family "Bacterial small subunit ribosomal RNA", at positions 524 to 776 of the family's 1533-position model. The record is from RNAcentral.
UACGUAGGGACCGAGCGUUGUCCGGAUUCAUUGGGCGUAAAGAGCUCGUAGGCGGCCACUCAAGUCGAAUGUGAAACCUCGAGGCUUAACCUCGAGCCUGCAUUCGAUACUGCGGUGCUUGAGGACUGGAGAGGAGACUGGAAUUCGUGGUGUAGCAGUGAAAUGCGUAGAGAUCAUGAGGAAGACCAGUGGCGAAGGCGGGUCUCUGGACAGUUCCUGACACUGAGACACGAAGGCCAGGGGAGCAAACGGG